This 253-nucleotide ribosomal RNA is filed under the name uncultured bacterium. RNAcentral's name for it is "partial 16S ribosomal RNA". It matches the Rfam family "Bacterial small subunit ribosomal RNA", at positions 524 to 776 of the family's 1533-position model. The record is from RNAcentral.
UACGUAGGGACCAAGCGUUGUUCGGAUUUACUGGGCGUAAAGGGCGCGUAGGCGGCAUGACAAGUCACUUGUGAAAUCUCCGGGCUUAACUCGGAACGGUCAAGUGAUACUGUCGCGCUAGAGUGCGGAAGGGGCAAUCAGAAUUCUUGGUGUAGCGGUGAAAUGCGUAGAUAUCAGGAGGAACAUCUGUGGCGAAGGCGACACCCUGGACCAGCACUGACACUGAGGCACGAAAGCGUGGGGAGCAAACGGG